Molecule: small nucleolar RNA, 107 nt
Filed under: Theobroma cacao (cacao)
Lineage: Eukaryota; Viridiplantae; Streptophyta; Magnoliopsida; Malvales; Malvaceae
Description: Plant small nucleolar RNA R71
Rfam family: Plant small nucleolar RNA R71
About the family: R71 is a member of the C/D box family of snoRNAs containing the C (UGAUGA) and D (CUGA) box motifs.
Source: Rfam by way of RNAcentral
AGACCAUGGAGUGGGCAUUUCUAUAGCAAGUCCUUGUACCUCUCCUAUGCCUCAUACAAUUACUCAAAGUCAAAUUGUGUGAAAGAAGUGAUAUCAUUUCUCAUCUU